CGAGAGGACCGUGUUGGACGAACCGCUGGUUUAUCGGUUAUGCCGCCAGGCGUAUUGCCGAGUAGCUACGUUCGGUUGAGAUAAGUGCUGAAAGCAUCUAAGUACGAAGCUUGCCUCAAGAUUAGAUCUCAUUAUAAGGGUGGUUAUAGACGAUGACCUUGAUAGGCUACAGGUGUAAAGGCGGUGACGUCAUAGCCGAGUAGUACUAAUUGCCCGAAAGUUUUUGCCUG
RNAcentral lists this ribosomal RNA (230 nucleotides) under Porphyromonas sp. Its description in RNAcentral is "partial 23S ribosomal RNA". It matches the Rfam family "Bacterial large subunit ribosomal RNA", at positions 2684 to 2925 of the family's 2925-position model. The record is from RNAcentral. Lineage: Bacteria; Pseudomonadati; Bacteroidota; Bacteroidia; Bacteroidales; Porphyromonadaceae.